GACGAACGCUGGCGGCGUGCUUAACACAUGCAAGUCGAACGGAAAGGCCCUGCUCUUGUGGGGUGCUCGAGUGCCGCACGGGUGAGUAACACGUGUGUAACCUGCCCUUGUCUUUGGGAUAUCUUCAGGAAACUGGGGCUAAUACCGGAUAGGAGCUCCUGCUCCAUGGUGGGGGUUGGAAAGUUUCGGCGGUUGGGGCUGGACUCGCGGCUUAUCGGCUUGUUUGUGAAGUAGUGGUUUCCCAAGGCUUUGACGGGUAGCCGGCCUGAGAGGGUAGCCGGCGACAUUGGGACUGAGAGAGGGACCAGACUGGAACGGGAGGCAACAGGGGAGAAUAUGACAGAAUAGGCGGAAGCGUGAUGCAGCAAUGCCGGGUGCGGGAUGACGGGUUUCGGGGGAAGAACAGAUGUGGCAGGUGACGAGGAGAGAGUGACGGUAAUGGGUAAAGAAGCACCGGCUAACUACGUG
Molecule: ribosomal RNA, 468 nt
Filed under: uncultured bacterium
Lineage: Bacteria
Description: partial 16S ribosomal RNA
Rfam family: Bacterial small subunit ribosomal RNA
Source: RNAcentral